AGAAACUUAAGUUAUACACAAACUAGUGACCUUCAAAGCCACCAAAAAAGACCACUUUAGUUUCUG
Molecule: transfer RNA, 66 nt
Filed under: Xenopeltis hainanensis
Lineage: Eukaryota; Metazoa; Chordata; Lepidosauria; Squamata; Xenopeltidae
Description: tRNA-Trp
Source: RNAcentral